AACGCACCUUGCGCUCCUUGGUAUUCCGAGGAGCAUGCCUGUUUGAGUGUCAUGUUAACUCUCAGCCAAUUGGUUGGACUUUGGAUGAUGCGGGAGUCUCUUUCGCUCGUCUUAAAUGCAUUAGCAGGGCCGAGGGGCAACCCACUGCUGGCGUUGAGUAAUGCUUGCGCCUUGUGGGUCUCGUUGGCCUGCUUACCAGUAUAUGACCAUGGUGUCCGUCUUGAAUGCAUGGGUAGGGCUUUGUUUUACCCACUGCUGUAGCAGGCUAUGCGAAUGAGGUAGGUGGGUCUACGUGCGCAAACCCGUUUCAGUGAUGCGCGUGCGUUGCAUUGGGGGUAUUGCCCGGCCUUGCCGUGCGCAAACCCAGUGAUUGACCCCCUACUGUUGCUUGCAAUGCUUGAGCAUCAUGCUUACUGCUGGGCUCGUUCCGAGCGGACGGUUUAAAUCACCACUGGUGCCUUGACUUCUGGCCUCAAAUCAGGUAGGAUUACCCGCUGAACUUAA
Molecule: unclassified non-coding RNA, 504 nt
Filed under: uncultured fungus
Lineage: Eukaryota; Fungi
Description: sequence contains ITS2
Rfam family: 5.8S ribosomal RNA (bases 1-52)
Source: RNAcentral